This 468-nucleotide long non-coding RNA is filed under the name Cyanoderma ruficeps (rufous-capped babbler). RNAcentral's name for it is "lncRNA (ENSCRFG00000014375.1)". The record is from RNAcentral. Lineage: Eukaryota; Metazoa; Chordata; Aves; Passeriformes; Timaliidae.
CCCGCCCCCGGUCUCCCCUGCCCUCCCCUCACGGGCCACCGCCCCGCCCCGCCGGGCCCGGCCCGGCCCCGCCGCCCGGCCCGCGCCGCUCCGCGCCCACCGCGCUGGGGCCGCCGCGCUGCCCGGCUCCGCUGCGGGCCGGGGGGUACCACGGCCCGGCCCGGCUCGAUACAGCCCGGCUCGGUGCGGUCGGGCUCGGCGCGGCCCGGCAGGAGGGCGGCUGCGAUCUGCCGCGGCCGGCGAUGGGAGAUGGAGGGAACCGGCGGUGCGGCAGAAGCACUUGUGUGGGAUAAUGAUGUAUCGGCUCAUGCCCAGAACGUUGCCAAGGCCAAAUAUGAAUUUUUAUUUGGCUUGAAAGAAGAGAAGCCUUCAGGAAGGGCAGGGACUCAUGUGCUGGAGACACAUUGCUGGAGGAAGUCCCUGCACUUCUCGUUCUUCAGCCACAAAUUCUGUAGCUGCACAUGCUGA